RNAcentral lists this long non-coding RNA (665 nucleotides) under Ananas comosus (pineapple). Its description in RNAcentral is "long non-coding RNA (ACOM_LNC002462)". Lineage: Eukaryota; Viridiplantae; Streptophyta; Magnoliopsida; Poales; Bromeliaceae. The record is from RNAcentral.
GUAUGAACAAACUUAAGAUAUCUACUUAAGAAAUUAAAGAUUUUGAUAUUUAUUUAUGAAAGAUUAAAGGGUAUAAGAGGAGAGAGAAAAAUAUUAACAUAUUAAUCUAUAUAAAAAUUAUUAACUUAUUACUUUUUUCCUAAUCUAUAAAAAUGAGGCUAGAUUAGGAAUAAUUUUUAAAAGAAGGUUAGAUAAGGAAUUUUUUUUUGUAAAAAGGCUAGACAAGUAAAUAGUUCCCUCUUUUCAUCGGAUGCGAAGAGGGCUACUAGAGUCCUAGCCUAUGCCUACAUUCCAAAACCCCGAAAAUGUAGGUGGAAUUACCUUAGGGACAGGUAGAAAUUCCGGAGAGAAUGUAGAGAGAAGAAGAAUUAUCUGGGAACGUAAAUAAAAAUUUUAGAGAGAACAUAGUAAGAAGAAGAAGGAAAGAGAUUCGCACGUUCUCAGAGAUACAAUAUCCGAGAAAAAGGGAUCGUAUUUAUAGAUUAUCGGGACCCCUUAAAAUAUUCUGAUUCUAACAUAGAGUUUAGGAUUCGAAGAAAUAUAUAAUUCGUCCCUAUACUUAAGUUAUUAGGAUAAAUCUCAAUCCACAUCUUAUAUAGAUCGGGUUAAUUAGAAUUGGCCAAUGUAGACACACCACAUGGCAACAAUAAAUAUAUUUAAUUUAA